RNAcentral lists this long non-coding RNA (1817 nucleotides) under Homo sapiens (human). Its description in RNAcentral is "HSALNT0302343". The record is from RNAcentral. Lineage: Eukaryota; Metazoa; Chordata; Mammalia; Primates; Hominidae.
UGGUGGCUCACGCCUGUAAUCCCAGCACUUUGGGAGGCCGAGGUGGGCGGGUCACAAGGUCAGGAGAUCAAGAACAUCCUGGCUAACACGGUGAAACCCCCAUCUCUGCUAAAAAUACAAAAAUCAGCUGGGCGUGGUGGCGCGUGCCUGUAGUCCCAGCUACUCGGGAGGCUGAGGCAGGAGAAUCGCUUGAACCAGGGAGUCGGAGGUUGCAGUGAACCGAGAUCACACCACUGCACUCCAGCCUGGCGACAGAGAGACUCUGUCUCAAAUAAAUAAAUAAAACAUCUUAAAGAAAUAGAAAAUACUAGUAGAGUAUUCACUCUGAUUUCAGAAUCAAUUUGUGGAAAUUCAGUUUCACAAGAAUGAAAAAAGCCCCCUAAGCAAGGUAGCUUUUUUUUUUUUUUUUAAAGAUGGGGUCUCACUAUGUUUUCCAGACUGAUCUCAAACUCCUGGGCUCAAGCAAUCCUCCUCCCUCAGCCUCCUGAGUGGCUGGGACUACAGGUACACAUCACCACCACCCUGCUAGGAUAUGGUAGCUUUUUAACCAAAACACACCACCAUGCAAUGGAGAGCAUGUAACUUGUUAUUUGGUCAUACAAAUACAUCAGAAUAAAUUCCACCUCUCUUGUGGAGCCCUUUUUCCUACAUCUGCACAGAAACUGGCACUAGCAGGACUGCAACCGAGGCAGACUCGAGAAUUAGCAGACUCUGGCUCAGGCAGGACAAUAGAGCAGCGGGAAAUUUCUUUCAAGGGCUUUUGUUGCUGUUGUUGAGAUGGAAUCUUGCUGUGUCACCCAGGCUGGAGUGCAGUGGUGCUGUCUCGGCUCACUGCAAUCUCCGCCUCCCAGGUUUAAACGAUUCUCCUGCCUCAGCCUCUCAAGUAGCUGCGAUUACAGGCAUGUGCCACCAUGCCCAGCUAAUUUUUGCAUUUUUGGUAGAGAUGGGGUUUCACUAUGUUGCUCAGGGAGGUCUCGAAACUCCUGACCUCAGGUGAUCCGCCCACCUCGGCCUCCCAAAGUGUUGAGAUUACAGGCAUGAGCCACUGCGCCCGGCUUGAGACCUUGAGGGGCUUUUUAACCAAGAGAUGGUGUAGGGACAGAAGCCAGCAAGAAGAACAUGGUGGACUCUCUGUGAGGCCCCAAACCCCAAAUCAUGAGCCUCCGCCCCCUGAAAGUAUUCCAGGAUCUCUGAGGGAGGUUUUGGGAGGGGGCCAAGGUCCUGCAAUUGGGUGGGUGGGGCUCCAAGCCAUUGUUCUUUGCACAUUCAUGCCAAUGUGACCUAAUUGGCUAAGCACAGGCUGGAGAAGCUAGAUAAACCUAUUUAAAUUCAGAGCCAAAAGACACUCAAGGAUGUUUUCUGAGGGGGUGUGAGGGUUGGAAAAUCAUCCUAUAUUUGAUUUAUCUCCCACCUCAUGUCCUGAGUCAAUUCCUUAGUCUUAGAUGAGGGAGACGACUUGGGAGUCAUCCUUGUUUUUGAUGAGCUAUAUAACCCUAUGGCCAGCAGAGGGAAGUACUGCAUUUCAGAGCGACAAUUUGAGAUCUAUGAAAGAAUUUCAAUCGAGAAUAAGAGGCCGGGCGCGGUGGCUCACGCCUGUAAUCCCAGCUCUCAGGGAGGCUAAGAGGCGGGAGGAUAGCUUGAGCCCAGGAGUUCGAGACCUGCCUGGGCAAUAUAGCGAGACCCCGUUCUCCAGAAAAAGGAAAAAAAAAAACAAAAGACAAAAAAAAAAUAAGCGUAACUUCCCUCAAAGCAACAACCCCCCCCCCCCUUUUCAUAUUCUUGCCUGGAAGAAAGGCCUUGCUUUCCUCAGCUUCUUA